This 253-nucleotide unclassified non-coding RNA is filed under the name uncultured Chloroflexota bacterium. RNAcentral describes it as "uncultured Chloroflexi bacterium contains 16S-23S intergenic spacer region". It matches the Rfam family "Bacterial small subunit ribosomal RNA", at positions 524 to 776 of the family's 1533-position model. Lineage: Bacteria; Bacillati; Chloroflexota. The record is from RNAcentral.
UACGUAGGUGGCGAACGUUGUCCGGAUUUACUGGGCGUAAAGCGCGCGCAGGCGGACCGAUAAGUCAGAGGUGAAAUCUCCCGGCUCAACUGGGAGGGGCCCUUUGAUACUGUCGGUCUUGAGAUGCCUAGAGGAGAGUGGAAUUCCCGGUGUAGUGGUGGAAUGCGUAGAUAUCGGUAGGAACACCAGUGGCGAAAGCGGCUCUCUGGGGGCGAUCUGACGCUGAGGCGCGAAAGCGUGGGGAGCAAACAGG